This 1524-nucleotide long non-coding RNA is filed under the name Salmo salar (Atlantic salmon). Its description in RNAcentral is "lncRNA (ENSSSAG00000115057.1)". The record is from RNAcentral. Lineage: Eukaryota; Metazoa; Chordata; Actinopteri; Salmoniformes; Salmonidae.
CUUGCAUCUGUGGACUACACCUCUCCGUUGGUUUUCGUGGCCUUUCUCCGCUGGAGAUCUGUCGGCGGAUUGGCUUCUCUGACUGACCGACGGACUACAACCUUUUUUGUAUACGGUAUUUCAUUUGUUUUGGUGUGAUGUAUACUGUGAUGAUUUAGGUAGUUAGUUGUAGUUGAGGAUUUAUUGAAAUGUGUGGUAAAAUAUUUGUUCUUUUCAUUGUAUGAUUGACACUGGGUUUACGCUACACUGUAUGAACGGACAACCAUUGCGUGACUAAGGUCACUUGAGUUCCCUGAACUUGUUUACCGGGCUGGACUCUUUUUAGGCCCGAGGUACAGGACAUUUCUGGAGGAACCAGAGCUGUUUAAAGCUCAUUAUUGUUAUAUUGUUGUGUGUGUGUGUGUGUGUGUUGUUAAUACAACCACGCAAAAGAAUACAGUUGUUUUGAAGUUAUUUCCAUUGUUUUAAGGGUUUAUGAAAAGUGUAUUUCCAUCCUGACUUUUACAUGAGUCCUUUGUAUUGGUGUAGACUUGACGGACCAGAUGGGACUCAUUCCCUAUCAAACUAAAAGGAGAAACUAAUAUUUUCUCUGGUAGGCACAACCUACCUGGCACCCCUAUAAAUUAUAACCUCAAGUCAAAACCGUUACAACGUACAAACUUGAUAGAGCAUAAUAUUGACAUUGGAGAUGCUGACCCCAUUCGUCAGCGGUUCUAUAGAGUCUCUGUAGAGAAACUGCGUUGUCUGGAUGCUGAGGUCAGGUACAUGCUGGAGAGUAAGAUAGCAGAGCCUUCUUUCUCCAGUUGGGCUUCUCCCUGUAUCUUGGUCAGUAAACCGGAUGGAACGGACCACCGUAAGGUAAACGGAGUCACUAAGCCAGAUUAAUUUCCUCUUCCUCGGAUGGAGGACUGCGUUGAUCAAGUCGGCGCAGCUGUUUGUGCAAAUUUGACCUGUUAUUGUGCUAUUGGCAGGUGCCACUGACGAGUAGGGCACAUGACAUUUUUGCCUUUAUUACACCCUCUGGUCUGUACUCGUAUUCGGUUAUGAGUUUAGUGACUAUGAAUCGUUGGAGUCACUAUGAAUCGUUGGAGUCACUAUGAAUCGUUGGAGUCACUAUGAAUCAUUGGAGUGACUAUGAAUCGUUGGGAAAUGACAACCGUUGAGAAGUGACUAUGAACCGUUGGAAGAUGUUGUUUGCGUUUGUAGCUGAUGUGGUCUCUUGUGCGCCCUGUUCCUGAAUGUUAUGUGACUGACCAUUGUUUGGUUUUAUCAUGUUCUAACUUUCCUGUCUGUUCCCUCCUGGUCUUGUGUUCUCCUUUCCUCUUAAAUGUUGCUUCCUGUGCACAAAGGUUGCUGAGGUCUGGGGAGAAGGAGGUUGGCUGGGGCAAGUGGAAGGUGAACAUGUAACCUCUCGUCAAUUUGGGACGCAGAGGCCUGUGUCAAUUUGGGACGCAGAGGCCUGUGUCAAUUUGGGACGCAGAGGCCUGUGUCAAUUUGGGACGCAGAGGCCUGUGUCAAUUUGGG